Molecule: long non-coding RNA, 1159 nt
Organism: Leopardus geoffroyi (Geoffroy's cat)
Lineage: Eukaryota; Metazoa; Chordata; Mammalia; Carnivora; Felidae
Exons: 3
Source: RefSeq, a predicted model, not a curated record
UCAAGGGGUUGGCUCAGUACAUGAGUAGAGUCUGGAGUUUGGGGCCUGUGCCUGCCGGUGCCGUUUGAUGCUGAAAGAGAUACCACAUCUGCAAUGUGAGUACCUCCUCUUCUUUGCCAAGGCAUGUCCUCACUAGGGCUGUUCCCCCUGAUGCAGAAAAGACAUACCGCAUACCUCAAGAUGCCUUUAUGGGCCAUUGGCCCCUGGCCUGUCUUCUCUGGGAAUAUUGUGUCUGGAUGGGUGUCAUUGACCUAGCCUUGGUUUGUGAGUGCUAGAAAGGAGGAAGGGAAGAUGAGAAGGAGAAUGGAGAACACACACCUAAGAGUGUUUCCUUCAAAUUGGAAUAAGCUCCAGGGGCCCACCCACUGCUAUCGUUAUGAUGUCACAGAAAGGAACAGCCAGAGCAGGGGGAAGAAAUUCAUGAAGUCAUCUGGCCCAAAGCCCUCUUCGAUCUUCCAUACCACCAGGAUGGCAGAGGUUGGUGCAUGUUUCUGACAACUGAGCUCUUGAAUACCCGAGACCACACAGCAGCAACGCUGGGGGACGAACUCACUGAGCUGGUGCCCAGCUGCUCAUCUGGGAAGUUCUAUCGGGUUCUCACUUGUAAUCAGCAAACCCAGACUCCUCACCUUAGUGACUAUCAGACCAAGCUUCUCUUGGGAUCCUUGAAGAUGGCUGGACGUUGCAAGCGACGCUAUACGGAGAAAUCGCAUCCCAGAGUGACAACGGAGGUUUCCCUGGGAUGUGUUUUGUGCUGUUUGAGCAGGAGUGAAAGCAUGUGACUUUUUAAAGGGAAACCUCAGGAAGGGAGAGUAGAAGUGGAGACGUUGCCAUAAUGCUCAGAAGUCACGCUGAGCGGAUUUGGAGAGUCUUCCUGAAGCCUCUGCUGGGAGGGGAGAGGGAGAAGCCACCGUGGGCUUGUGUGACUUUGGACACCGUGUUCGAAGGGAAGCCGUGUGACCCUUUCCCACUCACUCCAGCCCAGCCUCACGGCAUCCAGCAGCCACCACUCGCCUCCUGAUUGCCGUACCUUUCUGCAGCCUGGAGAUUUGCAUUGUAAAUGCUGUUUGUUAGGCCCCUGAAAUAAUAUUAAUCACCGUAAAACAAUUACGUUGCAUAAUUUGUACAUAAAAAAGAAAGAGUGAACCUUUUGCUUGAA